RNAcentral lists this ribosomal RNA (253 nucleotides) under uncultured bacterium. RNAcentral describes it as "partial 16S ribosomal RNA". It matches the Rfam family "Bacterial small subunit ribosomal RNA", at positions 524 to 776 of the family's 1533-position model. The record is from RNAcentral.
UACGGGGGGGGCAAGCGUUGUUCGGAAUUACUGGGCGUAAAGGGCUCGUAGGCGGCCAACUAAGUCAGACGUGAAAUCCCCAGGCUCAACCUGGGAACUGCGUCUGAUACUGGAUGGCUUGAAUCCGGGAGAGGGAUGCAGAAUUCCAGGUGUAGCGGUGAAAUGCGCAGAUAUCAGGAAGAACACCCGUGGCGAAGGCGGCUAUCUGGACGGUUACUGACGCUAAGACGCGAAAGCGUGGGGAGCAAACAGG